UCAAGCCACAAGACCAUUAGGUGCACGGUUCAAUGGAUUAAUGGACCAUUUCAAGAUGGCUUUGGAUUGCUUCUUUGCGGUGUGGUUUGUUGUGGGCAAUGUGUGGAUAUUUGGAGGUCACUCUACUCCCACCGAUGCUCCCAAAUUGUACAAAUUAUGUAUAGUAUUCCUUACUUUUAGCUGUAUAGGAUAUGCCAUGCCAUUCAUACUAACUAUGUGCAACAAUUUGUUGCUGCUUGCCUUGCAUAAUCUCUCUCCUUGGAAUUCGGGAGGAUUUUUCUCAAACUAGAGGAGCCACUGUAGAAUCUAUCAAUAGUUUGCCAACCUACAAGUUCAAGUUACAGAAAAGUGAGAAUGUCAAUGUUCAUGACAACUCAGGGACUGAUGAUGGUGGAGUCUUUGCUGCAGGGACUGAAAAGGAACGUGCAAUAUCAGGAGAAGAUGCGGUUUGCUGUAUUUGCUUGAAUAAGUAUGUCGAUGACGAUGAGCUGAGGGAACUCCCCUGCACCCAUUUCUUCCAUGUGGACUGUGUGGACAAGUGGUUGAAGAUCAAUGCAUCAUGUCCCCUCUGUAAAAGCGAACUUGGUGAGAGUAGUGGUGCUCCGCCAUUAGCCAGAGACUCCAGCCAACACUAGAGCAAGUUAGAAUGAUAGGUAAUGGAUUGAUCAGCCAUUGGAUUUUGCAUGUCUGGGGUAGAUACCUCAAAUGCACUCGUUUUCAACAAACUAAAUUUUGUUUCACAGAGAUGGAAAGGGCAACAGCAGGUUUUUUUGGUCCUAGCAUUGGCUUUUAAGUCUAUUUAAUUGUUUGUAAUUGCGCUAUACAGGACAAGCUUCCCACCUGAAAUAGUCCGCCCUUCUGUGAAAAUAAAAAAAGUAAUCUUCUUUGGUGUUGCUAUUAUCUGAAUCCUUCAUUUGCUUGAUUUGAAUGGUGAAAUCAACAUCCGUAUGGGUGCCCACUAUUGUAAAUUGUAGGAUGAUAAUUCAGUGAUCAAGUUUUUUUUUUUU
Molecule: unclassified non-coding RNA, 1007 nt
Filed under: Hevea brasiliensis (rubber tree)
Lineage: Eukaryota; Viridiplantae; Streptophyta; Magnoliopsida; Malpighiales; Euphorbiaceae
Source: RNAcentral